This 232-nucleotide long non-coding RNA is filed under the name Amborella trichopoda. RNAcentral's name for it is "long non-coding RNA (ATRI_LNC003759)". The record is from RNAcentral. Lineage: Eukaryota; Viridiplantae; Streptophyta; Magnoliopsida; Amborellales; Amborellaceae.
UUAACAGAAAAAAAAAAGAAAAAGAAAAAAGAGACUGCCCCCAAAGAAUAAGGAUAACACUUGGGAAUGGUAUUAGGAUCAGGGAACCCUAAUUUCCUAGCCCGUGUUUUGAGCUGCAUUGUUUUGUUUGAGGGUAUUCUAGAGGUGCUUCCCAGUUCAAUGAAUUUUGUAAGAUCCAAGUGCGUCAUCGGUUCGGUGAUCGGUUGUAGGGUAUGUCAAGACUUAAAGGGGU